UGGAGUGUUAUAACACUGUGUAUAAGGUGAUAAUGGAGUGUUCUAACACUGUGUAAUGUGAUAAUGGAGUGUUCUAACACUGUGUAUAAGGUGAUAAUGGGAGUGUUCUAACACUGUGUAUAAGGUGAUAAUGGCCAGCUACAUGGUUGUUCCCUGGUGACCUGUGUCAUUGUGUCUCUAGGAGGGGAGGAUAAGAAGUUCCUGAUCACUCGUCUCCAGGCCAUCCACCAGCAGAAACGACCCUCUCCCCUCGCAGACUCACCAGUCAGGAUUCCAACUGUUAGCAUUCCAACUACUGAAAGGGCAUUCUCUCCCUUCUCAUUGGAGGGAAUAUCUCAGAAAAUGUCCUGAAUGGACCAACCUGGAUGUAGCUCUCCUCUCCUGACUCUGGGAAGAGUUGUUAAGGGAUUCUUCAACUGGAAAACUAUUCUCAUAGGAUGUCCUCUUUCCCAGGAAGCUGAGUUGGGACUGGGACUAUAAAGGAAUUUACUUCUUUACAAUAACAAUUCCCACAGACGCCAAAACGUGAAUCUGAUAGGAUCCACACUCUUUCCCAGGAAGCUGGUCCUUAUAAGGAUUGGGAAUAGGAUUGGGAAUGGGACAAAGCAGGCUUUCCCUCUUCCAAUAACAGACUACACCUCAUAGGAAAGACCACUGUCUUUAUAGGAUCUUACUCUGGCCAGGCCAUAGGCUACAACUUACUGUAACUAGGCUACAUAGGAAAGACCACUGUCUUUAUAGGAUCUUACUUGGCCAGGCCAUAGGCUACAACUUACUGUAACUAGGCUACAUAGGGAAAGACCACUGUCUUUAUAGGAUCUUACUAUGGCCAGGCCAUAGGCUACAACUUACUGUAACUAGGCUACAUAGGGAAAGACCACUGUCUUUAUAGGAUCUUACUAUGGCCAGGCCAUAGGCUACAACUUACUGUAACUAGGCUACAUAGGGAAAGACCACUGUCUUUAUAGGAUCUUACUAUGGCCAGGCCAUAGGCUACAACUUACUGUAACUAGGCUACAUAGGAAAGACCACUGUCUUUAUAGGAUCUUACUAUGGCCAGGCCAUAGGCUACAACUUACUGUAACUAGGCUACAUAGGGAAAGACCACUGUCUUUAUAGGAUCUUACUAUGGCCAGGCCAUAGGCUACAACUUACUGUAACUAGGCUACAUAGGAAAAGACCACUGAGUUUUUAUGAACUUACUAUGGCCAGGCCAUAGGCUCCACCUUACUGUUUAUUCUUCAUGUAAAUGAAAGGACAUGCCACUGUCACAAAACAAUGGUUUAUCGAAGCUCAAUACUUUCAGCCAAGGAUCUUUGUCCUUUUUUAAACUUGGAUUGGAAGCCCUGGUCAUGAGGUCAUGAGAGAGGAUGUAGGGGUGAAGAGGAAACGAGACUGGGAUACGGUGUGCUUGUAGGGACACCGAACGGAAUGCGCUUUUUAGAAACAAUAUUUUUUUCCCUCACAACUCUGAAUAAGGGAACAUAUCAAAUGCCAACAAGCUGCCAACGUUGCACAAAGGAUUAAAACAGUGGCAUUGUUAAGCAGGGUGAAUUCUGUCAAAUAUAGGAUUUGGAUUUUUUUUAAAAUUGUAAAUAGUAUGAUUUUUUAAAUUGUAUUACUUUAGAUGUUUUUAUUGUAUAAACAGGUAUUUUGUCAACAGUCCUUUCAUACCAACUGUGAACAAAUAGGUUAUUUCUUUCCGUUUCUGAUAUAAAAUGUUAUGUUUUUAUGUUAAUUGGUGGUCAACACACUGCUUCUGAAAUGGCACUCUUCCCUACAUAGUGCACGACUUUAUAGGGCGCUGGUCGUACGUAGUGCACUAUGUAGAGAAUAGGGUACCUUUUUGGAUGCAUUCUCUGUUUACUGACUCUGUAGGAAGAAUCCACUUCUUAGUAUCGGGCAAUCUGAUUGGUUCGUUCAAACAGGAAAUGGUCUUAGAAGAUCAACCACUGGAACAGUACGUUAUUUGAAUGUCUCUUAUUGUUUUUAAGUUGUUUUGUUUGUAUACUUUAUACGAAAUUAAAUGUUUUAACAUA
Long non-coding RNA from Oncorhynchus nerka (sockeye salmon), 2039 nucleotides. RefSeq lists it as uncharacterized. Lineage: Eukaryota; Metazoa; Chordata; Actinopteri; Salmoniformes; Salmonidae. The transcript is spliced from 2 exons. The record is from RefSeq and is a predicted model, not a curated record.